GCGCCAAGGGUUUGCGUUUGUUGCAUAUUCACCAUCGGAUGUGGAGCCACUACCUCCCAAAACUGCACCUAUCUCACCCAAACAAGCACCCACCAAUCCAGCGGCUGAUCCUUGUGUUUUUACGAUCUGCAAGGAAUGCCCUGAGAUUUGCCGGAUAAGACUGGACUUUGCGACUUUUGCGAUUGCCGGGCCAGCAAUAGGGACUGCCACAACGACGGCCGCAGCGGAUCUCCCAAAUGGUCUCAUAAUUGGCGAUUUUUGACAGAUACGUUUGUCUUCAGUUCACCAGGAAAUACAGCCUCACCGGUCAUUUGCGGUUUUAACUCGG
Long non-coding RNA from Tigriopus californicus, 328 nucleotides. RefSeq lists it as uncharacterized. Lineage: Eukaryota; Metazoa; Arthropoda; Copepoda; Harpacticoida; Harpacticidae. The record is from RefSeq and is a predicted model, not a curated record. The transcript is spliced from 4 exons.